This 460-nucleotide ribosomal RNA is filed under the name uncultured bacterium. Its description in RNAcentral is "partial 16S ribosomal RNA". It matches the Rfam family "Bacterial small subunit ribosomal RNA", at positions 338 to 795 of the family's 1533-position model. The record is from RNAcentral.
CCUACGGGAGGCAGCAGUGAGGAAUAUUGGUCAAUGGACGAGAGUCUGAACCAGCCAAGUAGCGUGAAGGAUGACUGCCCUACGGGUUGUAAACUUCUUUUAUAAAGGAAUAAAAUGAGGCACGUGUGCCUUUUUGCAUGUACUUUAUGAAUAAGGAUCGGCUAACUCCGUGCCAGCAGCCGCGGUAAUACGGAGGAUCCGAGCGUUAUCCGGAUUUAUUGGGUUUAAAGGGAGCGUAGAUGGGUUGUUAAGUCAGUUGUGAAAGUUUGCGGCUCAACCGUAAAAUUGCAAUUGAUACUGGCAGUCUUGAGUACAGUUGAGGUAGGCGGAAUUCGUGGUGUAGCGGUGAAAUGCUUAGAUAUCACGAAGAACUCCGAUUGCGAAGGCAGCUUACUAAACUGCCACUGACAUUGAUGCUCGAAAGUGUGGGUAGCAAACAGGAUUAGAUACCCUGGUAGUC